UAUAAUUUUAGGAACUAUAAAAAUGUGUGUAAUAUUGCUAUAUCCUGAGAGAUAUUAAUAUUCAUUUAUACCAACCCAAUAUUCAUUUUGUGCCCCUUGCAUCCGUCACUUCCAAAUCUCGAGAAGAUCCGAACCCACUAUUCAUCUUCCCUCCCAAAUCUUGAUCAAAUGAGGAGGCAAAAAACCUGUAGAAUAAGAAUGAAAAAUCUAAAGAUUGAAACGUAAAGAUGCUGACCUCCCAUGCAUCUUCUUCCUACCCACAUUUUUGUUCCUCAUAAAUCUUGAUGGUACG
Molecule: long non-coding RNA, 292 nt
Filed under: Vitis vinifera (wine grape)
Lineage: Eukaryota; Viridiplantae; Streptophyta; Magnoliopsida; Vitales; Vitaceae
Description: long non-coding RNA (VVIN_LNC004564)
Source: RNAcentral